RNAcentral lists this ribosomal RNA (254 nucleotides) under uncultured bacterium. Its description in RNAcentral is "partial 16S ribosomal RNA". It matches the Rfam family "Bacterial small subunit ribosomal RNA", at positions 524 to 776 of the family's 1533-position model. The record is from RNAcentral.
UACGUAGGGUGCGAGCGUUAAUCGGAAUUACUGGGCGUAAAGCGUGCGCAGGCGGUUAUUUAAGUCAGGUGUGAAAGCCCUGGGCUUAACCUAGGAAUUGCGCUUGAGACUGGAUAGCUUGGAGUGCGGCAGAGGGAGGUGGAAUUCCACGUGUAGCAGUGAAAUGCGUAGAUAUCCGGAGGAACACCGGUGGCGAAGGCGGCUUCCUGGACCGACACUGAAGCUGAGGCGCGAAAGCUAGGGGAGCAAACGGG